GGACUUUGAAAAGAGAAUUAAAGAAAGCCUGCAUUUGUUUUUCAAUUUUAAAAAGGACUUUGAAAAGAGAAUUAAAGAAAGCGUGUAUUUGAUGACAAUUAAAGCAAGUGUAGAUGUUCAUGUAAUUGUUAAUGCAUCAAUCAAUGUUCAUCAUGGUUACUGCAUGUUUUAUCACAUGGGAUCAGUUGAAACUUUGUGAGAGCACUCUUCAGUUCCCGCACGUACCCACCAGCUUUGUCCACUCGUGUGUUGGCACACAUGUAAUGAUGAUGUGUUUAUGCAAGAUACUUCUGUGCGCACCAACAUGUUGUGCAAAUCUUCACUUGACCCGUCUUGAAACACGGACCAAGGAGUCUGGCAAGUGUGCAAACCAACUUUCUGUAGAGAUUUGUAUGUAAUGAACAUGUUUGUAUCAUUAUUGCACCACCAAUCAAUAUUCAGCUUGUUGCUUAUUUGAAUGUGAGCAUUGUUGCUAGGACCCGAAAGAUGGUGAACUAUGCUUGCAUAACAUGAGUUCAGAGGAAACUCUGAUGGAAGUUUGUAUCGGUACUGACGUGCAAAUCGUUC
RNAcentral lists this ribosomal RNA (567 nucleotides) under Ostreopsis cf. ovata. RNAcentral describes it as "LSU rRNA". It matches the Rfam family "Eukaryotic large subunit ribosomal RNA", at positions 1 to 903 of the family's 3401-position model. Lineage: Eukaryota; Dinophyceae; Peridiniales; Ostreopsidaceae. The record is from RNAcentral.